AUUAGACAAAGCUAUUGAAGCUGAGGACAAAAAGCACGGUGAUUUCUUGCGUCUGGAUCAUAUUGAGGGUUAUCUUGAAUUGUCCGCCAAGACGAAGACUUACUUUGCCACAGCUGUUAACUUAUGGGAUGCUGAGUAUUACAUCAAGGUUGAUGAUGAUGUUCAUGUCAAUAUAGCUACACUGGCGGAAACAUUAGUAAGGCAUAGUAAAAAACCACGUAUAUAUAUCGGGUGCAUGAAAUCUGGUCCUGUCCUUUCCAGGAAGGGUGUAAGGUAUCAUGAACCGGAAUAUUGGAAAUUCGGAGACAAGUAUUUUCGUCAUGCUACUGGACAAAUAUAUGCCAUUUCUAAAGACUUAGCUACUUACAUAUCAGCAAACCAGCAUGUACUUCAUAAAUAUACAAACGAAGAUGUGUCACUGGGAGCUUGGUUUAUUGGACUCGAUGUGCAGCAUAUCGAUGAUCGUAGACUGUGUUGUGGAACCCCACCUGAUUGUGAAUGGAAG
Molecule: unclassified non-coding RNA, 505 nt
Filed under: Hevea brasiliensis (rubber tree)
Lineage: Eukaryota; Viridiplantae; Streptophyta; Magnoliopsida; Malpighiales; Euphorbiaceae
Source: RNAcentral